UACGUAGGGUGCAAGCGUUAUCCGGAAUUAUUGGGCGUAAAGAGCUCGUAGGCGGUUUGUCGCGUCUGCUGUGAAAACUGGGGGCUCAACCCCCAGCCUGCAGUGGGUACGGGCAGACUAGAGUGCGGUAGGGGAGAUUGGAAUUCCUGGUGUAGCGGUGGAAUGCGCAGAUAUCAGGAGGAACACCGAUGGCGAAGGCAGAUCUCUGG
Molecule: ribosomal RNA, 209 nt
Filed under: uncultured bacterium
Lineage: Bacteria
Description: partial 16S ribosomal RNA
Rfam family: Bacterial small subunit ribosomal RNA
Source: RNAcentral